This 466-nucleotide ribosomal RNA is filed under the name uncultured bacterium. RNAcentral's name for it is "partial 16S ribosomal RNA". It matches the Rfam family "Bacterial small subunit ribosomal RNA", at positions 28 to 507 of the family's 1533-position model. The record is from RNAcentral.
GAUGAACGCUGGCGGCGUGCUUAACACAUGCAAGUCGAACGGUGAAAGAGAGCUUGCUCUCUGGAUCAGUGGCGAACGGGUGAGUAACACGUGAGCAAUCUGCCCCUGACUCUGGGAUAAGCGCUGGAAACGGCGUCUAAUACCGGAUACGAGCUGCGAAGGCAUCUUCAGCAGCUGGAAAGAACUUCGGUCAGGGAUGAGCUCGCGGCCUAUCAGCUAGUUGGUGAGGUAACGGCUCACCAAGGCGUCGACGGGUAGCCGGCCUGAGAGGGUGACCGGCCACACUGGGACUGAGACACGGCCCAGACUCCUGCGGGAGGCAGCAGUGGGGAAUAUUGCACAAUGGGCGAAAGCCUGAUGCAGCAACGCCGCGUGAGGGACGACGGCCUUCGGGUUGUAAACCUCUUUUAGCAGGGAAGAAGCGAAAGUGACGGUACCUGCAGAAAAAGCGCCGGCUAACUACGUG